Molecule: long non-coding RNA, 349 nt
Filed under: Elaeis guineensis (African oil palm)
Lineage: Eukaryota; Viridiplantae; Streptophyta; Magnoliopsida; Arecales; Arecaceae
Description: long non-coding RNA (EGUI_LNC015699)
Source: RNAcentral
GCUCGUCUCUUAUCCGAAUUGAUCGAUUCAUUGUAGUGUUUCAUUCAAGUUGAAGGUAAGCUGAUUUCAACUAGAAUUAUAACUUUAGUCCCGAAUGCUAACUUGAAUGGAAUCUCUCCAAUCGGGAUCUGAGUAGUUGUUCGAUAAGACCAUAGGACACUGUGAAGCUUGUCAACCCAACUUCCUUUAUCUUGAAUGAUUCUAGUCUUCAGGCCUUGGAGAAUCAUCUUGUUGAUCACCUCGGCUUUCCUAUUGGAUUGAGGAUGUCCGACUGAAGUAAGCCUAUGGAUAAUAUGAUACUUCACAUAGAAUUUUUCGAACUUGGUAUUGUUGAACUGUCAGCCGUUGU